GUGCUCGCGUCUGUAGCACAUACUAAAAUUGGAACGAUACAGAGUAGAUUAGCAUGGCCCCUGUGCAAGGAUGACACACAAAUUCAUGAAGCGUUUCAUAUUAAA
Small nuclear RNA from Myotis lucifugus (little brown bat), 105 nucleotides. The record is from Ensembl. NCBI's taxonomy places the organism in Eukaryota, Metazoa, Chordata, Mammalia, Chiroptera, Vespertilionidae.